Molecule: long non-coding RNA, 235 nt
Filed under: Anser brachyrhynchus (Pink-footed goose)
Lineage: Eukaryota; Metazoa; Chordata; Aves; Anseriformes; Anatidae
Description: lncRNA (ENSABRG00000010738.1)
Source: RNAcentral
GGGAGUUCAGCUACAAACAAUACUGAAAAGUAAAUACGUGGUGUAUUUCACUGAACAAAUGAAAGGUUGACAAAAUAAAUGAAAUGUGGCAGAUUCUGUCAUUUCCAUUUGGAUGGAAGUUCAAUACACAUGGGCUCAUCUAGGAAGUAUUUUCAUUGUCUCUGAUGAUAUCAGAAGCCAUUUGCCUGAAGAUGUACAUAGACUUAACGAAAUCAAUACAGGCUUCAGAGAAUGA